UUAAGAUAACCACGUACUCGUGAACAGUCGUUUUCCGGGAAAAUCCAGUGCUCCUGCCAGGGAUAACGGAUCAGCCAUCAAACUAUUCAAAGCAGGAAAAUCUGGUGCUGUGCCGCAACUGUGAUGGAAGCUUCCUCAGCCAGAACACCGGAGAGCCACUUUUUCACUCU
RNAcentral lists this non-coding RNA (170 nucleotides) under Cyanothece sp. Lineage: Bacteria; Bacillati; Cyanobacteriota; Cyanophyceae; Gomontiellales; Cyanothecaceae. The record is from RNAcentral.